GGGCUUGUGGCGUAGUUGGUAGCGCGUUCGCUUAGCAUGCGAAAGGUCUCCGGUUCGACUCCGGACUCGUCCA
Molecule: transfer RNA, 73 nt
Rfam family: tRNA
About the family: Transfer RNA (tRNA) molecules are approximately 80 nucleotides in length.